RNAcentral lists this transfer RNA (71 nucleotides) under Cordylochernes scorpioides. RNAcentral's name for it is "tRNA-Gly". It matches the Rfam family "tRNA". Rfam says of the family: Transfer RNA (tRNA) molecules are approximately 80 nucleotides in length. Their secondary structure includes four short double-helical elements and three loops (D, anti-codon, and T loops). Lineage: Eukaryota; Metazoa; Arthropoda; Arachnida; Pseudoscorpiones; Chernetidae. The record is from RNAcentral.
CCAUCGGUGGUUCAGUGGUAGAAUGCUCGCCUGCCAUGCGGGCGGCCCGGGUUCGAUUCCUUGACGAUGCA